ACGGCGAGUGAAGCGGCAACAGCUCAAAUUUGAAAUCUGGUCCUUCUGGGCCCGAGUUGUAAUUUGAAGAGGAUGCUUUUGGCGAGGUGCCUUCCGAGUUCCCUGGAACGGGACGCCAUAGAGGGUGAGAGCCCCGUCUGGUUGGAUACCGAGCCUCUGUAAAGCUCCUUCGACGAGUCGAGUAGUUUGGGAAUGCUGCUCAAAAUGGGAGGUAUAUGUCUUCUAAAGCUAAAUAUUGGCCAGAGACCGAUAGCGCACAAGUAGAGUGAUCGAAAGAUGAAAAGCACUUUGAAAAGAGGGUUAAAUAGUACGUGAAAUUGUUGAAAGGGAAGCGCUCAUGACCAGACUUGGGCCCGGUGAAUCAUCCAGCGUUCUCGCUGGUGCACUUUGCCGGCCCAGGCCAGCAUCAGUUCGUCCCGGGGGAAAAAGGCUUCGGGAAUGUGGCUCCUCCGGGAGUGUUAUAGCCCGUUGCAUAAUACCCUGGGUCGGACUGAGGUACGCGCUCCGCAAGGAUGCUGGCGUAAUGGUCAUCAGCGACCCGUCUUGAAACACGGACCAAGGAGUCGUCUUCGUAUGCGAGUGUUCGGGUGUCAAACCCCUACGCGUAAUGAAAGUGAACGUAGGUGAGAGCUUCGGCGCAUCACCGACCGAUCCUGAUGUUCUCGGAUGGAUUUGAGUAAGAGCAUACGGGGCCGGACCCGAAAGAAGGUGAACUAUGCCUGUAUAGGGUGAAGCCAGAGGAAACUCUGGUGGAGGCUCGCAGCGGUUCUGACGUGCAAAUCGAUCGUCAAAUAUGGGCAUGGGGGCGAAAGACUAAU
RNAcentral lists this ribosomal RNA (818 nucleotides) under Mycophilomyces periconiae. Its description in RNAcentral is "eukaryotic LSU rRNA". It matches the Rfam family "Eukaryotic large subunit ribosomal RNA", at positions 86 to 935 of the family's 3401-position model. Lineage: Eukaryota; Fungi; Ascomycota; Sordariomycetes; Hypocreales; Clavicipitaceae. The record is from RNAcentral.